UACGGAGGGUGCAAGCGCUAUCCGGAAUCACUGGGUUUAAAGGGUGCGUAGGCGGCUUAAUAAGUCAGAGGUGAAAGGCUGUGGCUCAACCAUGGGAUUGCCUUUGAUACUGUUAGGCUUGAAUCAGGCUGAGGUUGGCAGAAUGUGGCAUGUAGCGGUGAAAUGCAUAGAUAUGCCAUAGAAUACCGAUUGCGAAGGCAGCUGACUGGGCCUUGAUUGACGCUGAGGAACGAAAGCGUGGGGAGCGAACAGG
This 253-nucleotide ribosomal RNA is filed under the name uncultured bacterium. RNAcentral describes it as "partial 16S ribosomal RNA". It matches the Rfam family "Bacterial small subunit ribosomal RNA", at positions 524 to 776 of the family's 1533-position model. The record is from RNAcentral.